UCGGUCUCUCUGUCUAAAAUAAACCGAGGUGGUCCCUGGUCUGGGCGUCCUAGGACGUGUCUGAACACCCCGCGGAGGAAGAAGACAGCACCAGCCACUGCUGGCACGGGGCUGCAGCCCCUGGCUACACACACCUCCGAAAGACAGCGGCGACUUCGGACACCUCUCUCCCGCCCCAGCCUGACUCCCCAGGGGCGGUGUGAAACCACAAGUGAUAAUAUCUCCCAUCGCCAGCUUUGAACUUCAGAUAGAAGGAGACCUUAUGGCAGUUGGACUAUCUGAGAGACCUGGUGCCCUGUGCCGCCUCCUGCAUAAUGCAUGCGCGCGUGGUAGGAACAGAACCCCGUCCGUGGUGAGUCUGGCCGCUGUGGGCCAUGGACGUGUCCAGAGGCCUUGCCAAGGCUGGUGUCUCUAGGAUGUUGGCAGGAGUUGAGGAGACAGAGGGAGUAUGUGUCACCUGAAAAUUUUCCUGGGGCUGAGGUGGGAACAGGUUGCAUCUUGAGCCUCAGGAUUCUGCAAAGAAAAUAGGGGAAGACAUGAGUUCCCAUGGCUCAGCGGUAAGGAACCAAAAUAAUACCCACGAGGACGUGGGUUUGAUCCUUGGCCCUGAUCAGUGGGUUAAGGAUCCGGCAUUGCUGUGAGAUGUGGUGUAGGCUGCAGACUUAGCUUGAAUCCUGCAUUGCUGGCUGUGGGGUAGGUCAGCAGCUGCAGCUCUGAUCUGCAGACCCUAAAAAAGAAAAAAAGAAAAAAAAAAGUGGGCAGUCAGAGUGCCUCACAAGCCCAGGGAAGGCAUCACCUCAUUGGUUGGAUUCCACUCAUUCAUAGAAUCAGUAAGUACUCAAGGCCAAGCUAACUGCUAGGGCUUAAGAUAUGAAGAUGAGGAGUUCCCAUUGUGGCUCAGUGGUUAACGAAGCCAACUAGGAACCAUGAGGUUGUGGGUUCGAUCCCUGGCCUCACUCAGUGGGUUAAGGAUCUGGCGUUGCCUCGAGCUGUGGUGUAGGUCGCAGACUCAGCUCAGAUCCCACAUUGCUGUGGCUCUGGCGUAGGCCAGCGGCUACAGCUCCAAUUGGACCCCUAGCCUGGGAACCUCCAUAUGCCCCGGGUGCAGCCCUAGAAAAAAAAGACAUGAAGAUGAAUCAGGGGAGUUCCUGCUGUGGCUCAGUAGGUUAAGGAC
Molecule: long non-coding RNA, 1174 nt
Filed under: Sus scrofa (pig)
Lineage: Eukaryota; Metazoa; Chordata; Mammalia; Artiodactyla; Suidae
Description: lncRNA (ENSSSCG00040045888.1)
Source: RNAcentral